UGUUAUACUUGACCAUGGCCCAGAUUUGU
This 29-nucleotide non-coding RNA is filed under the name Mus musculus (house mouse). Lineage: Eukaryota; Metazoa; Chordata; Mammalia; Rodentia; Muridae. The record is from RNAcentral.